Molecule: ribosomal RNA, 252 nt
Filed under: uncultured bacterium
Lineage: Bacteria
Description: partial 16S ribosomal RNA
Rfam family: Bacterial small subunit ribosomal RNA
Source: RNAcentral
UACGGAGGGUGCGAGCGUUAAUCGGAAUUACUGGGCGUAAAGGGUGCGUAGGUGGUUGGAUAAGUUAUCUGUGAAAUCCCUGGGCUUAACCUGGGCAGGUCAGAUAAGACUGUUUGACUCGAGUAUGGGGGAGGGUAGUGGAAUUUCCGGUGUAGCGGUGAAAUGCGUAGAGAUCGGAAGGAACACCAGUGGCGAAGGCGGCUACCUGCCUAAUACGUGACACUGAGGCACGAAAGCGUGGGGAGCAACAGG